UCCUUCCAUUCAAGAGAUUUAUUAUGUUUGCAAAACCAGUCAGAUGAAAUCCGAUGUCAAAUCUGUGGACCACAGAUGAAUUCUUGUAAUUUUCACGUGUUUCAGUCUUCUGCUGUUGAGUUAACCAGAUGCAUACACAGUACCAUAGAUUUGACGCUGAUGGCAAAUAUGCUAGUAGUAGCAGUCCUAGCUUUCAUGAACUUUAUGUUUGUUGAUAUUGAGAAAAUAACGGUAAUGGCUGCCAAUUCUCGACCAACACUUGGUUACAUGCAUGUACAUUUCACUUUAGCUGUAGAUGUUUACGUCUUCUGUAUCCUGGGUAUCUUUGUGCCUUGUGUUUAGGCUAUAUGAUUCUGGUAAGAAAUUAAUGAACACUACUAAGUUGCUAACUCUGCCGGGUAGUUUAUCCCCGGUUACACUGAUUUGAGGAGGAGGUAAUGGGAUCACCAAAGCCUGUGCCUGUCAUUUGCUUCCAUUGAAGUCACUAAGGUGUCCAACUCCAGCCCCUGAUCCACGGAUUUGUUCCUUAACCUAAAUACACAGCGCGGUCCUUUGUUUCACACAAAUGAGGUUAUGUACUGAUCACAUAGUUGAUGAAGUAAUAACUUUUUCAAGCAUAUCUUUCCUCAAAAUAUUAAACGUGAAGAGGCCACAGCUCAGCAGACAAAUGACUUACUCUUCCAUUAGGUUGUUACCACCAAAGCAAGCUUCCAUUUGGGCUAAGAGAAUUUUACUGACCCCUGGAGAGUGAGGAUACACAUUUUUCUGCAUGUUCGAGAGAAAAGAAGAAAAUUACCGUUCCUGGAAAGCCAUUUUCUUUUCUCUAAGCUUUCUGCCUUUUGUCCUUCCCAGUUUCAUGUAGGAGCAGGUGCAGUUUAACUGUACCUGCUGUUCCAUGAUGGUCUUAAUGGUCAGCAAUCAACAUAGGCCAACUAUAACUGCUUUAUGUGUAUAUUAUCCAUUAGCAGAGAGAACCAUCAUAUAUUAACAGAAUGAUUGCAAUCCAGUUGGUUAAAUACUUAAAUCUCAUCACAAUUAUUCGUAUGUUGAGAUGCGGAGAUUUAGAGGAGUUAUUUUCAAGAAAACAAAUGAGUAACAAGUGGAAGACUGCUCAACUAUGCUUACAAAUCUAAUGGUGUUUUCUCCAAACAAACGAUGGGCGGUUUUUGCAAAAGCGGAAUUCAUGAAUAUUGUUAAUUGUUAUCCUUUAGAGUUUGGAGUUUGGCUGCUCAAUUGUUUGCUUUGAUUAUAAACCUGAUUGCAUUUGCAUAUCUAUUUGCAUGAUUACCAUGUGAAAAGUGGUUGUUUAUUAUGUUGCCCAUAGCUAGCAUAGUUAGUCAAAGGUCAAACAGUUAGCAAAAUGUCGAAUAGUAUUCCGUGCUAUAGAAUGCACAGUCAAUUGUUAUGCUGUUCUUUUUAAGCAAUGCUGUUUAGAUGUUCAUCGUUCUGUGGCUUGAAGUUGGAUAUUUCAAAUUAUGUGAAUCUUUAGAUGGUAUGAUCAGGGAAACACAAUGAUAUAUGGCUUCACAAUUUUUAUUCAUCAAAUCUUACCUGGAAGGCUGUAAUAAUCAGUGUAAUUAACCCUUUAUGUUAUGGGUCCUUAAGCUCUCUAAUAUGAUAGGGUUUCAUCAUAGGUAAAUACAUGGGACCAAAAUACCUGCAAUGUGUCUGUUUAACCUAGGUAAAUACCUAGAAUGUGUUUGUUUAUCUUCACCUCCUCUUCUUAGCUGGCACCUAUUAUAAAGGUGGUUUUCUUACCUGGCGUUACCUAGGACCAAAAGAACUCGUCACUACUGUGUAAUAAUUCCUCCUUUGCAACUGUUGACUGAAAGAUAGUCACCAAUUGUUUCAAAAGUGUACUAAUUAGCUUGUCCUAGACGUGAUAUAUUUAAAAAUGGAGGGAGUACUCUUCUGCACCUUGAUAACCUGGCCCUAUGACAUAAGAAUGCUAAUGCAAAAAAGAGAAAAGUAGUUUAUACCUUCAUUUAUUCAGAAGAUGGAUAGCUAGAUGAACAAACAGCUCGGGUAUAAAAAAAAUCUGCUUCAAGUCACUGAGACAUUUAUUUGUCCUAUUUGAGCAAUUUUUAGCUCUAACUUUAUCCUUGGCUUGUUAGACAUGAUGUGCUUUUUAAUAUAAAGUGUCAAGUAAGAGAUGAUGCUCUCAUUGUGACUUUUGAGGUGUGCACUAUACAAAAUGAUACUCUUAAAGCAUUUUCUUUGCAAUAAUCAUUUACGAAGAAGCUUGAAUAGGAUCCAUAUGGAAUACCUUUGUUGCAUCAUCCAUUUCCACCAUUGGUUUUCAAAUAGCAUUCUGAUGGGAGAGCGAAACUGAAGCAGGGGUAUAUACCGAAUGGCAGGGCAAUUCUCCUUUGGCAGGGAUGGCAAUAGCACUGCUCAUUCUCCAAUGCUUGCUACAUUAGCCUCCAUGCCAGAGGAGAACCACACUGUGAUUCUCACCCUGAAAUGCUCCCUAUUCAUCCUUGAUCUCUCUCAUUUCUUAUUUUACAAGAAAGUCCAUCACUCUGCUGUAACUAGGCCUUCAUAUUCUUCUUUUGUGCUCACUCUGUUUCUUGCCUUGCACCGUAUGUUGCCAUGGCAAAUAUAUAAGACCAAGAUGGGCAAGCAAAAUCUGGAUAUGCUGCUGGAUAUACUUCCAAAUCAGGACAAUGCUUUCAGGAGGUCCGUUGAUAUUAUGCUUUGUCGCGGAACAUCCCCAUGGAUCUUCUCAUUGGUGCUGUUCAAAGCUGCCUCAGUUGAAAAAUCCAGUAGGUAUCUGAUUCCAUGAGCUUUGUAGAAAGGAUGCACAUUCUGCAAGUUGAACUGCUGCGGGCGUCGAAAGGCUGCAUAACAUUUCAAUAUAUCUAAUCUUGGGUCCUACACCCAGAUGAUUGUUUACAUACUAUUCCUGGAUAUUUAUCUUUUUUGGAAACUUUGAUUCAUAAAUAUGCCACCUGUUUCUGCUGAUUCUUUUUCUUGAUCAUUAAAAGUUCUAAUCAACAGUCAUCAUUGACUACUUUUUUUUUCAGUUCCCCCCACAAGAACUACCAUUGACAAGUUAUAAUACAAUUUUGUUUUAACUAGCUAAAAUUGUAGGAAGCAACAAGAAAAUGACACAUAGCAGGAAUCAUCAAAACAUCGUUGUGCCAUGUCCAUGUCGCAAGUAUUAGGUCUCGGAUGAACGUGUCGGACCAACUAGUGUGAGCCUGAAUUAUCAACGUGUCGGACCAACUAGUGUGAGCCUGAAUUAUAACAUCGUCGGAGAAUGAAUUGCGAGGUGAUCCCAUGGUGAGGAGAAUAGAUUGAAAUUUUGCUAAGUGGCAAGUGAAAAUCAGCAAGGUAGACAAGAAAAUGGCACAAUAGCAUCACACUUUUUGCAGAGUGGAAGACAGUAAAUUUUCUGAAGUACAUAAGGAGAAGAGCAAUGGAUCCACCCUUUGAACACACCGAGAGUCUGAAGAUGGCAAGUACUACAAACUGGUGGACAUUACAUUAGUUGCAAGUCAGUCGUUAUGUUUACUAUUGCAAAAGUGAAAACUUUCAACAUGAUGAAGAUGCCAGUGGUGCUUGGAAAAUAUGCUUCUUUGUAUCUGGAAGGCGCCUAUCUGGAAAUAUGCUUGGUACCAUACCUGUCAAGCAAAGAGAAGAGAAGAUCAAGUGGAUAUGCUGAUGCCAGCUUCCAUGCCAUAAGCUACUCUAGCAACGGUACAAUGCAUAUAAAUACAGAGUUGGUCGAACCUAGGAUGCAGCAGCCAGUCAUCAGGUAAGCCAAAUAAGAAGAGUGCAAUAGUACAUUGGUGUGUGCAUGGAUGCAAGUCAAUGAUUACUGGGCCAUUUUUCCUUGGGCAGAGUGAUUAAACCUCUCACUUUGCUGGAUCUGGUUUUUUCUGCCAAAGGAGAUUUGUCCAGCGAUCCACAUUUGCAAUCUCUUUAGUAACAGGAUGGUUAAUGUUGGUAGAAUGUAUUACUUAUGUGUGCAUAUAUAAUGCACGUUCACCUGUUUGGGUUUGCACACUCAUGCUUUAAAAUGACGCUAAUACUUCAAUUUUAUUCCGUUUAGUCUUGAAUUUAUCUCUUAUUUUUUGUGAGUGAAUAUAAGGAUAUGAUUAAUAUUUCUUCUAGUUUCAAAAAAGUGCCCCCCCUCCCCCCCUCUUAAAUGCAAUACAUUAGAAUCUAGUAUCGUGACUCAUAUUUUCAUUUACUUCCCGCUUUGGACUGACUGAUGCUACUGCAGUACACAUGUCAUCAAAUUUGUUAGAUUAUCAACGCCAUUUUUCAAUAUAUACUUUCAGAUAAAUGGUUGCCGCAAUUCAAUAACGGUAUUCUUUUUACUAAAAGAGAAUGGUUAUUUGACUAAUAUAUAUUUGACAUCAUAGUUCGCUUAAUUUUAGCUGAAGACUUUUGACUUUUGAGAAGUAUUAAUGCUAGAGAAUAUUGAAUAAACUAGAAAAAAAUUUAAAGAAAUCCCUAGGAAACUUGCAGCAAUUAAUUAUACAUUGGAUUUGCUUUUCAUGUAAAGUUUGUAGUUUCAAAUACUGGCUAACAUUAUAACAUAACACCUUCAAGACUAUAGCCCUAAGGAGAUUGUUCCUUGAUGGCUCGCUACAGUAUUCAGCAUAGUUCUCCUUCAAUGCUGCCAUUUUAUAAAUUUUGUGGAGAACGUGCAUUUUUCAUUAAGAGGACCAUUUUAUACAUGGUCAUGCAUACACUUAGACACACACAAAAAAAAAUGCAUUUGUACUCCAAUUUCAGAGCAUACAUGGCCUGCUUGGCUCCCCGCCACAAGCUAGUGGCCUGGUGGUUGUGGUGGCGCGACAUCCAAGGCGUGGCGUGUUAUGGCGUAGAACCAAACACGCAGACACUUAUAGGUUCUGACCUGAUAAUUUCUCUUAUAAAUUCUUCAUCUCAUAGAAACUGUUCGUUUACAAAAUUUCAUUAUCAGUAAGUAGAAAAUGAUCAUAUUAUUUCUAAUUAACUAUAGCAGUUGUGAUUAAAAAUCGUAUUGUUUAUUUCGUUCUCUAGAUACAAAUGCAUUGGAACAUGAAAAGUAACAUUUACUUAAGCAUUUGAUUGGCUCCAUACCCUUCUCUAUGCAAUUAUUUCUUGGUAUUUGAUAUUGCUUUAAUUAGAUGGACUUUACUACAGUAUAAAAGAACACUCUUUAUGGGAUAAAAUUUGAAAGGUAAACGAACGGUCUUUGCAGGACGGGGACGGAGGGAGUAAGUCAUCACAUAAGUAACUCAUCUAUUUUAUACACACUUUCAGGUUCCAUAGAAGCCACAAAAUGGAAGUUUCUUUUGCAAUGUUGGCUUCCUGAUCCUGGUUAUCAAACGGUCAAUUCAGACAUCUAAGCUGCUGCAGCUUUUGGCGAGCUAAUUUGAGGAAUAUUUGACAUAGCCCCAGAUCAGUAGUCUUCAAAUCUGAAGGCACUAGGUUCCAUAUGGGGCCGAAACACUUAGCUUCUAGUCAACAGUGCAUAGGAGAAAGACAUGCGAUUGGUCAAUAUGAAAUCAAGUGCGUCGGAUGGCAGAUCAGAUCUUCACCCGUGCCUACCUCCUAGGGAGCUGCCUUUGAAGAGCAUCUGAUCAGCAUGUGCCUGAAGUUCUUGAAGGCUGAAGAGCCACCGGAUCUUCUAACGGCCGCGUCACACGUGAGACUCACAUACAUGCCGGACAGAAUAUAAGAUCUCAAUCUUGAAAAAGUACGGCUCCUUUGGCCACUUUGAAGCAUCUGUUUAUGACUGGAUACUAGGACCGGCAACUCUUGUCAGCUUCAAGAUAUUUCCAAAAACGUUAGUUAAUUAUCAAAGGACAAUGCAAGUUUUUUUUAAUUUUUUUUUACUAUACCUGAAUUGCCCCUUCCAAAUUGCGCUUUUGAAUGAGAAAUUUGGUCGAUUGGAUGAAA
This is an RNA transcript of Panicum hallii, 5901 nucleotides long. RefSeq lists it as uncharacterized. NCBI's taxonomy places the organism in Eukaryota, Viridiplantae, Streptophyta, Magnoliopsida, Poales, Poaceae. The transcript is spliced from 3 exons. The record is from RefSeq and is a predicted model, not a curated record.